UAUUCAAAUAGCAAAAACGACUAUUUAUAUUCGAGUUCCAAGUUCCGCGUUCUGAGUUCCGUGUUCCGAGUUUCGAGUUCCAAGGUCCAAGUUUUAAGGUCCGAGUUUCGCGUUCCGAACCCCAAGUUGCAAGUUCCUAGCUACGAGUUCAAAGAUCCGAGUUUCUUGUUCCCCUCUUAGAGUUUUUAGAUUCAAGUUUUUGUUACAUAUAAGUUUUUCUAUACAUUAGUCAUAAAACUUUCGAUACGAUAUGAGCGAAUGGCAACAUUAUUUUUGAUAAAGCCCAUCCUUUAACUUAAUUAUAUUAAGCGUAUAACAGAAACCGAUCUCAUCUCUGAUCGGAAAAAAUUCGAACACAAACCAGCUCGGUUUGACAGAAUUCGAGCAGAGGACGGCAAAUUCCUAUAGGGACGAAAAAAGAAAAAAUCCCGUCUGACAGAUUCAGUUCCGGGAGAAAAUUGAAUAGAGUCGGACGAAAAAGUUGUGACAGCGUGCCUGCUGUCGGGAAAAAAAACGCGUGUGCGCCGAGUUUCGGGCAUGAAUAGCCCUCGAGUGGGACAAAAAGAAGCUCGCGAUCCGCAACAGAGCGACAGCAUCGGAAAAAGCGGAUCAACAUCGCAUAAGCACACCACACAUUUUAUCUUCCGAUUCCGAGGUCCACCAACGGCCGAACAAGGAUCGGCGCCGAUACGAUAGGAGAAGCCAAAGAGGAAUCCUCCGCCACGUCUAUUUAAAUACCGGUCAGGAAAGGAAGUGACCAAAUUGUGUCCCGGAUUCGCAGGGCCCCUUUUUUAUUUCUACCCCAGUUAUUCAUCAUCACAUCGCUCCCACACGGCGAUUUGCUUCCGGCGGAGAGAACCUCCGAAGGAAGAACAUCGUCAGAUAAGGCAAGGUGGUGGUCAAGAUUAGCUGCCAGCAGAAACGACGGUGGAAUCAUCCACAGGGCGAAUUGGCAGCUUCAUUAGCAGGCAGUUGGCUGUACCAGUGGCAGCACAAGGGUGGCCACCAGCCACAUAUCGUAAUCAUCAGUUUCGUCCCCACUGCGCCAGCAGUUGCAACAUUCUUCAGCAAUCCUGUUUGGGAUUAUUCCGAUGCCUUAGCAGCACAAUUUAAGGCGGUUUCGGCAGGAUAAUCACCACCUGCGGUGCCAGCUGCACGUCUUCGACCCAUCGUCGAUCGAAUCAAUUGAGACAUCGGUCCCUGAGGUACUCGCAAUCCGCUGAGUCCGCAGCAGCAUCAGUCGAGGUGAUUGGUGUCUCCAGUUUAAACCAGCUUCUCACCACAUCAGCAUCCACCGUGGUUUUUCGGUUCGACCAUCAUUUCCGGGGCCCAAGUGCUACCGGUCGGUUUCUACCUCAGCAGGAUUUCCCAUGCCGCACUGUCAGCUGUGGCAAUCGUGGCCUGGUCGGCCGCACAACAUCAACGAAAGCGUAAACCGCGCUUAAUCAAGUAGACAGCUAGCAGCAAUGACGGUGGUGCCCAGACGCAUCAGCUCCAGCAACACAAGCUGCUUUCUGGUUUGCACCAUAGCAUCAGCAUUGGCGUUGGCCAGUGAACGUCACCGCAGCGCAGGCUGCUAUCCAACCGCAUUUUCUGAGAGACCAUGGCAUCACAAACUGGAUCUGACAAACACUGAAACGCGAACGCUCAACAUGGCUGGGCACGAUUACAGUAAAUAUUGGCUUCACAAGAUGCGACUAGCAGACAGCCCAAACUGCGAAAAAUGUGAUCAACCUGAAACCACAGAACACAUUAUAUUGAAUUGCAACCUAUACAACGACCUUCGAAAACAAUUCAACUUCGCUGGCAAAUUCAACCACAUCUCAGACUUACUCAAGGUAAAAGAAACAUUGCUUUUAAAAGAAAUUAUAGAAUUUCUUAAACUCUCCAAGAUGAACUUAUAAAACUAUUAGUAAAUCUUCCUAACGAAGCAAAACUCUGUACGAUAACGUAGCAACUAAACAAAUAAAGAACACCGCUGGAUAUGUGAUCACAGUCACCAAUCCAUUCGUAGAUUUCCACAAUCCACAAUUAAAACUAAGAAGAAGAAGUUCCGAGUUUCAACUACUGAGUUCCAAGCUCCGUGCUG
Uranotaenia lowii is the source of this 2089-nucleotide long non-coding RNA. RefSeq lists it as uncharacterized. The record is from RefSeq and is a predicted model, not a curated record. The transcript has 3 exons. Lineage: Eukaryota; Metazoa; Arthropoda; Insecta; Diptera; Culicidae.